UAACAGGAAGCAGCUUGCUGCUUCGCUGACGAGUGGCGGACGGGUGAGUAAUGUCUGGGAAGCUGCCUGAUGGAGGGGGAUAACUACUGGAAACGGUAGCUAAUACCGCAUAAUGUCGCAAGACCAAAGAGGGGGACCUUCGGGCCUCUUGCCAUCGGAUGUGCCCAGAUGGGAUUAGCUUGUUGGUGGGGUAACGGCUCACCAAGGCGACGAUCCCUAGCUGGUCUGAGAGGAUGACCAGCCACACUGGAACUGAGACACGGUCCAGACUCCUACGGGAGGCAGCAGUGGGGAAUAUUGCACAAUGGGCGCAAGCCUGAUGCAGCCAUGCCGCGUGUAUGAAGAAGGCCUUCGGGUUGUAAAGUACUUUCAGCGGGGAGGAAGGGAGUAAAGUUAAUACCUUUGCUCAUUGACGUUACCCGCAGAAGAAGCACCGGCUAACUCCGUGCCAGCAGCCGCGGUAAUACGGAGGGUGCAAGCGUUAAUCGGAAUUACUGGGCGUAAAGCGCACGCAGGCGGUUUGUUAAGUCAGA
RNAcentral lists this ribosomal RNA (533 nucleotides) under uncultured Pseudomonadota bacterium. RNAcentral's name for it is "bacterial SSU rRNA". It matches the Rfam family "Bacterial small subunit ribosomal RNA", at positions 64 to 592 of the family's 1533-position model. Lineage: Bacteria; Pseudomonadati; Pseudomonadota. The record is from RNAcentral.